RNAcentral lists this ribosomal RNA (497 nucleotides) under uncultured bacterium. RNAcentral describes it as "partial 16S ribosomal RNA". It matches the Rfam family "Bacterial small subunit ribosomal RNA", at positions 29 to 523 of the family's 1533-position model. The record is from RNAcentral.
AUUGAACGCUGGCGGCAUGCCUUCCACAUGCAAGUCGAACGCGAAAGGGGGGCAACCCUGAGUAGAGUGGCGAACGGGUGAGUAAUGCAUCGGAACGUGUCCUGCAGCGGGGGACAACCCCGAGAAAUCGGGGCUAAUACCGCAUACGUCCUACGGGAGAAAGUGGGGACCGCAAGGCCUCACACUAUAGGGGCGGCCGAUGCCGGAUUAGCUAGUUGGUGGGGUAAGGGCCCACCAAGGCGACGAACCGUACCUGGUCUGAGAGGAUGAUCAGCCACACUGGGACUGAGACACGGCCCAGACUCCGACGGGAGGCAGCAGUGGGGAAUUUUGGACAAUGGGCGCAAGCCUGAUCCAGCCAUGCCGCGUGAGUGAAGAAGGCCUUCGGGUUGUAAAGCUCUUGCGGCCGGGACGAAAUCGCUCUCGCUAAUAUCGGGAGUGGAUGACGGUACCGGAAUAAGAAGCACCGGCUAACUACGUGCCAGCCGCCGCGGUAA